CAAUAGCGUAUAUUAAAGUUGUUGCAGUUAAAAAGCUCGUAGUUGGAUUUCUGGUGGGAGCGAUCGGUCUGGCGCUUAGCGCGAGUACUUGCAUCGUCUCCGGCCAUCCUUGGGGAGAGUCUGUCUGGCAUUAGGUUGUCGGGCAGAGGAUCCUCAUCGUUUACUGUGAAAAAAUUAGAGUGUUCAAAGCAGGCUUAUGCCGUUGAAUAUAUUAGCAUGGAAUAAUAAGAUAGGACUUUGGUACUAUUUUGUUGGUUUGCGCACCAAAGUAAUGAUUAAUAGGGACAGUUGGGGGUAUUCGUAUUCCGUCGUCAGAGGUGAAAUUCUUGGAUUUACGGAAGACGAACUACUGCGAAAGCAUUUACCAAGGAUGUUUUCAUUAA
Molecule: ribosomal RNA, 383 nt
Filed under: uncultured eukaryote
Lineage: Eukaryota
Description: partial 18S ribosomal RNA
Rfam family: Eukaryotic small subunit ribosomal RNA
Source: RNAcentral